GGGGAAUCUUGCGCAAUGGACGAAAGUCUGACGCAGCCAUGCCGCGUGAGUGAUGAAGGCCCUCGGGUCGUAAAGCUCUGUCCAAGGGGACGAAAAAGGUGUUGGCGAACAUCCAGCAUCUCUGACGGUACCCUUGAAGAAAGCACCGGCUAACUCCGUGCCAGCAGCCGCGGUAAUACGGAGGGUGCAAGCGUUGUUCGGAAUUACUGGGCGUAAAGCGCGCGCAGGCGGCAUUAUAAGUCGGGUGUGAAAUCCCUGGGCUUAACCCAGGACGUGCGCCUGAUACUGUGAUGCUAGAAUCUGGGAGAGGGAUGUGGAAUUCCUGGUGUAGAGGUGAAAUUCGUAGAGAUCAGGAGGAACACUCGUGGCGAAGGCGACAUCCUGGACCAAGAUUGACGCUGAGGCGCGAAAGCGUGGGGAGCAAAC
This 426-nucleotide ribosomal RNA is filed under the name uncultured bacterium. RNAcentral's name for it is "bacterial SSU rRNA". It matches the Rfam family "Bacterial small subunit ribosomal RNA", at positions 356 to 773 of the family's 1533-position model. The record is from RNAcentral.